RNAcentral lists this ribosomal RNA (379 nucleotides) under uncultured cyanobacterium. Its description in RNAcentral is "bacterial SSU rRNA". It matches the Rfam family "Bacterial small subunit ribosomal RNA", at positions 376 to 770 of the family's 1533-position model. The record is from RNAcentral. Lineage: Bacteria; Bacillati; Cyanobacteriota.
CGCAAGCCUGACGGAGCAACGCCGCGUGAGGGAGGAAGGCCUGUGGGUUGUAAACCUCUUUUCUCAGGGAAGAAGUUCUGACGGUACCUGAGGAAUCAGCCUCGGCUAACUCCGUGCCAGCAGCCGCGGUAAUACGGAGGAGGCAAGCGUUAUCCGGAAUUAUUGGGCGUAAAGCGUCCGCAGGGGGCGCAUCAAGUCUGCUGUCAAAGGUCGGAGCUUAACUCCGGUUCGGCAGUGGAAACUGGUGCGCUAGAGGGCGACAGGGGUAGAGGGAAUUCCCAGUGUAGCGGUGAAAUGCGUAGAGAUUGGGAAGAACACCGGUGGCGAAAGCGCUCUACUGGGUCGCACCUGACACUGAGGGACGAAAGCUAGGGGAGCG